AAACAAGUCGUAUAAGCCGAGAACUUUUCGCGGACUUUACAUCGAUACGAAUCAGGAAGAAAUCGCGACAGGAAAAACGAUAGCCGGUUAGUCGCCGCACAAUCCUUAAACCGAAAGUAAACCUAGGUCUUGCCCUAAACCCAGCGCACUGGUCUCUAACAUCUCAAAGGCAUGAUAUCGAAAGAUAAGAGAUUCUUAAACCACGCCUCUAUGUUACGUUCGAUACCUUCAGCACCCCCGCGGAGUUCACAUCUCGCGGAAGAACUCUCGAAACAGGUCUCGAAUAAAACAUUUCACAAUCGAAGAAGGAUAUGAGACGACAACUCAUCACCUUCCUCCCCACUAUUCACAAAUUCAUAAAAAGCAUUAUCCGAUUAUCAUAUUAUAAAGCCGCAGAGCGGCAGGGAUUCAAAGCCACACACGGCCAGUCCCGAAAUACAAACAAGGCCAUUCAAGGCCGAAACAUAAAGACAUAAAAAAAAAAAAAAAUCUCUCGCAAGAGAUUUAACCCAAAUCACCCUCAGAACUUACGCCCCCUCUUCACCCGCCGCCUCGUCCGAGCCUGGAGCCGCGUCACUUCCAUUCUCUCCGACCAUCGGAUCUUUCCCCUCUGGGUCUUCUGAACACGUCGGAAGGAAGCAAGCGGAUUUUAGGUCGGCCAGGAUAAGACCGAAAUCUCCAUCCUCGGCCGCCAUAUCUCCUUUGCAGCCGGACAGUCGGGCCUCUUCGGCCUCCAAGGUCGGGGGAGUCUCACUUUGGAACGACCGAACCACGGCCAUCCCGCCCUCAAUCGUCGCCAAAGCGAAAUCCCUGCUCCGGAUACACUCGAGGAGAUCCAGGGAAGCGGAAAUCUUCGCCAAGCGAGCCUG
This 869-nucleotide long non-coding RNA is filed under the name Brassica rapa (field mustard). RNAcentral's name for it is "long non-coding RNA (BRAP_LNC001182)". Lineage: Eukaryota; Viridiplantae; Streptophyta; Magnoliopsida; Brassicales; Brassicaceae. The record is from RNAcentral.